Gasterosteus aculeatus aculeatus (three-spined stickleback) is the source of this 442-nucleotide long non-coding RNA. The record is from Ensembl. NCBI's taxonomy places the organism in Eukaryota, Metazoa, Chordata, Actinopteri, Perciformes, Gasterosteidae.
CGUAACUGAUCUGCACGCCGAAGCCUCACCCGGUCUGCCUCGGGCUUAUUAAUGGUCAUCAAGCAGAGGACGUUAAUUUAGAGAGCUCCAAACCGGGUGGCCUUCGGGAGUCCGAGUCCUCGCGCUCCGAACUGGUGUCACAGACUGAGACGAGGGUCCAACCGAUGUUGGAGGUCGUCCUGUCUGCGCUCAAAGGGAAACGAGCGUGCUGCCUCGACCACAAAGCCUUCAUCAGGGACAAAUGCUGAAACAGGGCCUGUGGGAGACACCGAACCGCCCACAAGGCGCCACGGCAGAGAGUAACGAUGGACUCCUGACAGUAAAGAAAUGGAACGGAUAUGGAAUCUAUUCACCUUAUAUGUGGACAUAUCAGGAUCCUAUUAAGAAAAUGCUGAACUUAAUUAAAUGUAGUUAUUCUAAUACAGUAAAUAGUAAACAGUAC